UACGAAGGGGGCUAGCGUUGCUCGGAAUCACUGGGCGUAAAGCGCACGUAGGCGGCUUUUUAAGUCAGGGGUGAAAUCCUGGAGCUCAACUCCAGAACUGCCUUUGAUACUGAGAAGCUUGAGUCCGGGAGAGGUGAGUGGAACUGCGAGUGUAGAGGUGAAAUUCGUAGAUAUUCGCAAGAACACCAGUGGCGAAGGCGGCUCACUGGCCCGGUACUGACGCUGAGGUGCGAAAGCGUGGUGAGCAAACAGG
This 253-nucleotide ribosomal RNA is filed under the name uncultured bacterium. Its description in RNAcentral is "partial 16S ribosomal RNA". It matches the Rfam family "Bacterial small subunit ribosomal RNA", at positions 524 to 776 of the family's 1533-position model. The record is from RNAcentral.